GAUGAACGCUGGCGGCGUGCCUAAUACAUGCAAGUCGAGCGAACAGACGAGGAGCUUGCUCCUCUGACGUUAGCGGCGGACGGGUGAGUAACACGUGGAUAACCUACCUAUAAGACUGGGAUAACUUCGGGAAACCGGAGCUAAUACCGGAUAAUAUAUUGAACCGCAUGGUUCAAUAGUGAAAGACGGUUUUGCUGUCACUUAUAGAUGGAUCCGCGCCGCAUUAGCUAGUUGGUAAGGUAACGGCUUACCAAGGCAACGAUGCGUAGCCGACCUGAGAGGGUGUUCGGCCACACUUGACCUGAGACACGGUCCAGACUCCUACGGGAGGCAGCAGUAGGGAAUCUUCCGCAAUGGGCGAAAGCUUGACGGAGCAACGCCGCGUGAGUGAUGAAGGUCUUCGGAUCGUAAAACUCUGUUAUUAGGGAAGAACAAAUGUGUAAGUAACUAUGCACGUCUUGACGGUACCUAAUCAGAAAGCCACGGCUAACUACGUG
This 497-nucleotide ribosomal RNA is filed under the name uncultured bacterium. Its description in RNAcentral is "partial 16S ribosomal RNA". It matches the Rfam family "Bacterial small subunit ribosomal RNA", at positions 28 to 507 of the family's 1533-position model. The record is from RNAcentral.